CCGUGCUCCACGGGGAAUUGCAAUCCCUUGACCCGAAGUUAAGGCGGGGUGCAGAGUCUGUUGUGAGGGUUCGGCGGGCAACUUUGAUAGAUUUAUUAUUGUUGACGAUUAAAAUCGUUAUGGCGUAAGCUGUCGAACCGUGUCAGGAUGGAAACAUAGCAGCACUAAGACAAUCCUUGCGGGUGUGAUUGUUUUAAUAAGAGAUAGUAGGUUUAAAGAUUUUGUCCGUUGCAUUCGAUAGACAGUUGCACGG
Molecule: signal recognition particle RNA, 253 nt
Filed under: bacterium
Lineage: Bacteria
Description: signal recognition particle sRNA large type
Rfam family: Bacterial large signal recognition particle RNA
About the family: The signal recognition particle (SRP) is a universally conserved ribonucleoprotein involved in the co-translational targeting of proteins to membranes. Archaeal SRP consists of a 7S RNA and homologues of the eukaryotic SRP19 and SRP54 proteins.
Source: RNAcentral